GCCCAGGAGUCAGGGAGGUCCGGUAGCUCGGAUGCGCGCUAAGCGCGGCUGCCAUUUUGGAGUCGGGCAGCUGCGACGGCGGCCGUGUCUGGACCGGGGGGAAAGGAGGAGCCAGUCAGUGCCUUGGCUCAGAACAGGUGCUCACAAAUGAGUGGUAAAUGAAUUGGUGAAUCCCUUAAUACCUGAAUCAGACCACCACAAAAGCAUCUCCAGCCGAAAUCUUGAUGGAAAAGCACCCAGCUGCCCAGCCCAGGAAACCACAGUAGUAAAACACUGAGAAGCCAAGCUCCUCUCCCAGCUGACAUGAAUUAAUACCAGGUGUAUUGGCACACAGUCUUGGAGCUCCACUCAUCAAGAUGAGACCUUCUGUCCCUUCUUUUUGGCAAGUUAAAAUUUUAAAUGAAUGGAAAGAGGAAAUGUAAAGGAAGACCUUUGCCACCGCUUCUGAAUGAAGUUCUUUUAUUUCCAUCUCUCUAAAAUGAUCUCUCCUUGUCUAUGAUUUAUUGUGUAAAUCUUUUUCAGCUCUAUCCUUGAUCUGCCGGUUCUUGAUCAAUGUCUGUUGAGGAUAUAUUAGCAUGGGAGUACCAAGCUCCAGGAAGACUGUAUCUACUUUCAAGAAAUUUAUGAUAAUUCAAAAAGUAUAGUCAGGCUUGACAAGAUGUCUUCCUAUUAUUGAGUACCUACUCAAUACCAUGCUCAGCAUUUUCAUAUAUGCUGUCUGACUUAGUCCACACCACCCUGCAAGAUAGGUUUUUUAUUACCUUCCUUUUCUUCAAGAUCUCAAAGACAGUAAAUGACAGAAUUGAGAUUCUAUAUGCAAAACACAGAUUUGGUGAUUGUAUACUCAUGGUGAAUGUGUCCACAUUGGCAGAUGAAUAUAGGUAUCAGAUUUUACCCCUUUCUAUCAAAUUUUAAAAGUUUUUUUAGUACAAAGCAGAUUUUAAACUGAAAGGACAAUUCAGAAGUAUUGCUGAGGGAAUGAUGCCAAAUGAGGAAGCCAAAUUGGCUAGAAGCCUAAAAUCAAUCAAUAAGGAGCAAUUUCUUGUUCAGCUAUGAGUCAUAUUAUAUUCUUCAAGUACCUUUAUUGUCUCAGUGACACCAAAUGCAGAAACCAACCCAGGUGGUAUAAGGGUGAACUGAGAAUGGAGAGGAAUGGUUUGGGGAGGGAAUAAGUUUUUGAAUGGAGAACACCCAAAUGGCUCAUAAACUGGCACAUCUAGCACUGGCUUUUUGGAACAAUUGAAACCAUAGCAGUUUCCCUUGCUGCCUGCCAAUCACUUGUUUUUAAAUGAUGUGUGUAGAACAAUUUCCUAUUCUUUUUCCCAAAAUACUUGAUUACAAUUUUUGAAGACUAGCACAUACUAUGUUGUAUAAGGCAGUUCAUUUCUACUAUUUUUAGUGGGUUUUUAAGGGAUGUAAGAUUCAAUAAAAUGCACACAUUUGAAUUGUAUAGUUUGAUCUGUUUUGAGACAUGUAUAUCCUUGUAACCACUGUCAUAAUCAUGAAAUAGAACAUUUUCAUCACUUCAAAAAAGGUCCCAUGUGUCCUUUUUGCUGUAGGAAUUUUAAUAUGACUUGUUAACUUGAUGACUGCAAAGAUCUAGAUCUCCAGCUUUAACCUUGCUUUCAAAGUCCAGGCCCAUAUUUUUAGCUACUUACUUGACAUACCUACCUGAUGUUACAGACAGGUACUUCAAACCAAA
Long non-coding RNA from Manis pentadactyla (Chinese pangolin), 1702 nucleotides. RefSeq lists it as uncharacterized. The record is from RefSeq and is a predicted model, not a curated record. Lineage: Eukaryota; Metazoa; Chordata; Mammalia; Pholidota; Manidae. The transcript is spliced from 3 exons.